RNAcentral lists this long non-coding RNA (389 nucleotides) under Dermacentor andersoni. RNAcentral's name for it is "uncharacterized LOC126530434". Lineage: Eukaryota; Metazoa; Arthropoda; Arachnida; Ixodida; Ixodidae. The record is from RNAcentral.
UUAAAGCCGCGAAGGAGCAGCCAUUGCCAGCUACGGCACAUUCUUCUACCGUAGUUGAUGUUUCUCACUGCUUUGAACCCCCAAGAUUCCACGGACUGCGGCUGCAGCCGUUUCAUUGCCAGCUGUGAGGAUGUAGCAGCUUCAUAGCCGGAGAUCGGACGCCUCCCAUCAGUUUCCCUUUUCAGCAAUAGAGGCCUUUGAUGCCUUUCUACCUGCGUUGCAUCCUGUGGCUGACCACUCCAACGAUCUCUGCAGAAUCGUUACACAGGAAGAAGUCCGGCUGGCCCCAAGCCUGGUGCGAAAUGAAGAAAUGGCACUCCACAUCAAUUCAUGUUUACUUGUCGUCAUAGCCAGUCUGUUAGCUUAAUUUUUGGUUCUUCCUAUUGAAU